This 788-nucleotide ribosomal RNA is filed under the name uncultured bacterium. Its description in RNAcentral is "bacterial SSU rRNA". It matches the Rfam family "Bacterial small subunit ribosomal RNA", at positions 55 to 817 of the family's 1533-position model. The record is from RNAcentral.
AUGCAGUCGAACGCGAAAAGUUCCCUUCGGGGGGCGAGUAGAGUGGCGCACGGCCUUUUUAACACGUAGGUAAUCUACCUUCGGAUGGGGAAUAACAAUCGGAAACGAUUGCUAAUACCGCAUAAUGCAGCGGCACCUAAUGGUGACAGUUGUUAAAGCGGGGGAUCGAAAGACCUCGCGUCUGAAGAGGAGCCUGCGGCGGAUUAGCUAGUUGGUAAGGUAAUGGCUUACCAAGGCGACGAUCCGUAACCGGCCUGAGAGGGCGGUCGGUCACACUGACACUGACAUACGGGUCAGACUCCUACGGGAGGCAGCAGUCGGGAAUUUUGGGCAAUGGGCGAAAGCCUGACCCAGCAACGCCGCGUGAAGGAUGAAAUCCCUCGGGAUGUAAACUUCGCAAGAACGGGAAGAAUAAGUCUAUGUAAAUACCAUAGAUGAUGACGGUACCGUUUGUAAGCUCCGGCUAACUCCGUGCCAGCAGCCGCGGUAAUACGGGGGGAGCAAGCGUUGUUCGGAUUUACUGGGCGUAAAGGGCGCGUAGGCGGUCAGCACAAGUCAGUUGUGAAAUCUCCGAGCUUAACUCGGAAAGGUCAACUGAUACUGUGCGACUAGAGUGCAGAAGGGGCAACUGGAAUUCUUGGUGUAGCGGUGAAAUGCGUAGAUAUCAAGAGGANCACCUGCNGCGAANGCGGGUUGCUGGGCUGACACUGACGCUGANGCGCGAAAGCUANGGGAGCGAACGGGAAUUAGAUACCCCCGGUAGUNCCUAGCCUUAAACGAUGAAUGCU